This 253-nucleotide ribosomal RNA is filed under the name uncultured bacterium. RNAcentral's name for it is "partial 16S ribosomal RNA". It matches the Rfam family "Bacterial small subunit ribosomal RNA", at positions 524 to 776 of the family's 1533-position model. The record is from RNAcentral.
UACGGAGGGGGCUAGCGUUGUUCGGAAUUACUGGGCUUAAAGCGCACGUAGGCGGCUUCGCAAGUCAGAGGUGAAAGCCCGGGGCUCAACCCCGGAACUGCCUUUGAGACUGCGUCGCUCGAAUCCGGGAGAGGCGGGUGGAAUGUGCCGUGUAGAGGUGAAAUUCUUAGAUAUUGGGAAGAACACCAGUUGCGAAGGCGGCCCGCUGGACCGGCAUUGACGCUGAGGUGCGAAAGCGUGGGGAGCAAACAGG